UACGAAGGGUGCAAGCGUUGUUCGGAUUUAUUGGGCGUAAAGCGCGCGCAGGCGGAUCAGCAAGUCAGAUGUGAAAUCUCGGGGCUCAACCCCGAAACUGCGUCUGAAACUGCUAGUCUAGAAUAUUGGAGGGGCAGGGGAAUUUCACGUGUAGGGGUAAAAUCCGUAGAGAUGUGAAGGAACACCGGAGGCGAAGGCGCCUGCCUGGACAAUACUUGACGCUGAGGCGCGAAAGCGUGGGGAGCAAACA
RNAcentral lists this ribosomal RNA (250 nucleotides) under uncultured archaeon. Its description in RNAcentral is "partial 16S ribosomal RNA". It matches the Rfam family "Bacterial small subunit ribosomal RNA", at positions 524 to 774 of the family's 1533-position model. The record is from RNAcentral.